GCGAUAAGUAGUGUGAAUUGCAGAAUUCAGUGAAUCAUCGAAUCUUUGAACGCACAUUGCGCCCCUUGGUAUUCCAUGGGGCAUGCCUGUUCGAGCGUCAUUUGUACCUUCAAGCUUUGCUUGGUGUUGGGUGUUUGUCUCGCCUCUGCGCGCAGACUCGCCUCAAAACAAUUGGCAGCCGGCGUAUUGAUUUCGGAGCGCAGUACAUCUCGCGCUUUGCACUCAUAACGACGACGAUCCAAAAGUACAUUUUUACACUCUUGACCUCGGAUCAGGUAGGGAUACCCGCUGAACUUAAGCAUAUCAAUAAGCGGAGGAAA
RNAcentral lists this ribosomal RNA (320 nucleotides) under uncultured fungus. RNAcentral's name for it is "eukaryotic LSU rRNA". The stretch from base 1 to 100 matches the Rfam family "5.8S ribosomal RNA", at positions 55 to 154 of the family's 154-position model. Lineage: Eukaryota; Fungi. The record is from RNAcentral.